UACGUAGGUGGCAAGCGUUAUCCGGAUUUAUUGGGCGUAAAGGGAACGCAGGCGGUCUUUUAAGUCUGAUGUGAAAGCCUUCGGCUUAACCGGAGUAGUGCAUUGGAAACUGGGAGACUUGAGUGCAGAAGAGGAGAGUGGAACUCCAUGUGUAGCGGUGCAAUGCGUAGAUAUAUGGAAGAACACCAGUGGCGAAAGCGGCUCUCUGGUCUGUAACUGACGCUGAGGUUCGAAAGCGUAGGUAGCAAACAGG
RNAcentral lists this ribosomal RNA (253 nucleotides) under uncultured bacterium. RNAcentral describes it as "partial 16S ribosomal RNA". It matches the Rfam family "Bacterial small subunit ribosomal RNA", at positions 524 to 776 of the family's 1533-position model. The record is from RNAcentral.